Long non-coding RNA from Temnothorax curvispinosus, 648 nucleotides. RefSeq lists it as uncharacterized. The record is from RefSeq and is a predicted model, not a curated record. The transcript has 3 exons. NCBI's taxonomy places the organism in Eukaryota, Metazoa, Arthropoda, Insecta, Hymenoptera, Formicidae.
UACAUAACUCAACAUCUAAUAAAAAAGAUAUGCCUUAUAGAACAAGAUCUAGGACAUUGUACAAUAAUGUCAAAAGUGAUAUUAAAGUAAACGCUCCAUUCCAGAAAAAAACAAAGAAACUGUUAAACGCUAAUAAAGAGAAUUGCUGUGAAGAGAACGAAAAUGCACAGAAACAACAUACUACUUCAAGGAAAUUGCGAGAAUUACAUGUGGUUUUACACAAGAUAGAUGAACCAUUAAACAAACGUUACAAAAGUAACAGAAUUUAAAUUUCGUCAGAUGAUUCAUUCAUAUAUGAGGCGCCAGGAGAUGAUUAUAGAUAUUUGUAUGAGGAUAACAAUACUCAUAAAGAAGACCUUCCAUUCCAUGCUAUUUUAACAGAGAUUACCAGAAUUCUAACGUGUCAGGAGCAAAACCUUCCGAAGAAAACUGCACGGUGUAUUUUACUAAUAAACGAACACAUGUUUUCAUACCAUGUGGUCAUCUUGCAUUGAAUGCAUUAAAAAAUUAGAAAUAAAUUGAUGUCCGAUUUGCAAUACUAUCUAUGAAAAUUCUCUUCAAGUUAGAAGACCAUAAGAAUUGUCUUUGAGUCGAGCAAUAUUUUUUUGUUUACAAACACUGCUGUCUACUAAUUUUAGAAUAGAAAAC